Molecule: ribosomal RNA, 624 nt
Filed under: Escherichia coli
Lineage: Bacteria; Pseudomonadati; Pseudomonadota; Gammaproteobacteria; Enterobacterales; Enterobacteriaceae
Description: partial 23S ribosomal RNA
Rfam family: Bacterial large subunit ribosomal RNA
Source: RNAcentral
UCGCUGUGAAGAUGCAGUGUACCCGCGGCAAGACGGAAAGACCCCGUGAACCUUUACUAUAGCUUGACACUGAACAUUGAGCCUUGAUGUGUAGGAUAGGUGGGAGGCUUUGAAGUGUGGACGCCAGUCUGCAUGGAGCCGACCUUGAAAUACCACCCUUUAAUGUUUGAUGUUCUAACGUUGACCCGUAAUCCGGGUUGCGGACAGUGUCUGGUGGGUAGUUUGACUGGGGCGGUCUCCUCCUAAAGAGUAACGGAGGAGCACGAAGGUUGGCUAAUCCUGGUCGGACAUCAGGAGGUUAGUGCAAUGGCAUAAGCCAGCUUGACUGCGAGCGUGACGGCGCGAGCAGGUGCGAAAGCAGGUCAUAGUGAUCCGGUGGUUCUGAAUGGAAGGGCCAUCGCUCAACGGAUAAAAGGUACUCCGGGGAUAACAGGCUGAUACCGCCCAAGAGUUCAUAUCGACGGCGGUGUUUGGCACCUCGAUGUCGGCUCAUCACAUCCUGGGGCUGAAGUAGGUCCCAAGGGUAUGGCUGUUCGCCAUUUAAAGUGGUACGCGAGCUGGGUUUAGAACGUCGUGAGACAGUUCGGUCCCUAUCUGCCGUGGGCGCUGGAGAACUGAGGGGGG